This 73-nucleotide transfer RNA is filed under the name Auritidibacter ignavus. Its description in RNAcentral is "tRNA-Lys". It matches the Rfam family "tRNA". Rfam says of the family: Transfer RNA (tRNA) molecules are approximately 80 nucleotides in length. Their secondary structure includes four short double-helical elements and three loops (D, anti-codon, and T loops). The record is from RNAcentral. Lineage: Bacteria; Bacillati; Actinomycetota; Actinomycetes; Micrococcales; Micrococcaceae. RNAcentral also lists the same sequence under 4 other names.
GCGCCUCUAGCUCAACUGGUAGAGCACUUGACUCUUAAUCAAUAGGUUGUGGGUUCGAGUCCCACGGGGCGCA